UUCCGCCUUCUUCCCGGGCCUUUGUGCGGCGGCUCCAGGCCUGAAAGGCCCGUGUCCAACACAUGUCUCGGGCGGCGGCCCAGAGAGGCCCCGCCAGCUCCGGCCGCCGCUUCCCGGCGCUGAUAACGCGGGCGGGGGGCGCCGCCGGGCUGCGCGGCCCACAAAGGCCUCGAAUGCCAAGCAAGGGCGCAUUGUGCGACGAGGACAAAGAAGCUCGGCAGGGCGGGGCUCAGCCUGAGCCGCCAGGCCCCUCCCACAGGGCGGAGAGGGGCCCUUUCCCCAUCUCCGAGAAGGGAAACUGAGGCCCAGGAAGUUUCCUCCUCUUAAGAAUGGAGAUACUAUCAAGACCUGCCUUACUGCGGACCCCGCGGCGGCGAGGGUUAGACAAGCGACUAGCAGCACAACACUCGCGAGAGCCACUGGGCACCUGCCGCGUGCCCGGUGAGUCAGCUCUGAUGCUUUUUGCCAGGCCUGCGGGCGGGCUUUACACGCGUAACUAUCUGCAUAGACAGCGCACACAGGCGCGAUAAACACGAAAGGCUCAGGCUCCCGCGUGUCUGGCCUGCCCAGCGCUCCCCUGUGGGCUCAGGGAGGACACCUAACCACACAGAGAGUAAGAAGCAGGGGUGGACACGAACCGGAGGCUGGGCUCAAGAAGCUGACAAUAAUGGGUUAAACCAUUCCUUCCUCUUUCAAGCGGCAUGACACUGGGAGAGUCACUUCUCUCUGUGCUUCAG
Molecule: long non-coding RNA, 737 nt
Organism: Acinonyx jubatus (cheetah)
Lineage: Eukaryota; Metazoa; Chordata; Mammalia; Carnivora; Felidae
Exons: 4
Source: RefSeq, a predicted model, not a curated record